GCAAGGACAUGUGGAGCGCUUAGAAGUGAGAAUGCCGGUGUGAGUAGCGAAAGACGGGUGAGAAUCCCGUCCACCGAUUGACUAAGGUUUCCAGAGGAAGGCUCGUCCGCUCUGGGUUAGUCGGGUCCUAAGCUGAGGCCGACAGGCGUAGGCGAUGGAUAACAGGUUGAUAUUCCUGUACCACCAUUAUUCGUUUUAAGCGAUGGGGGGACGCAGUAGGAUAGGCGAAGCGUGCUGUUGGAGUGCACGUCCAAGCAGUGAGAUUGAGUGUUAGGCAAAUCCGGCACUCUUAAGGUUGAGCUGUGAUGGGGAGAGGAACUUGUUCCUCGAGUCGUUGAUUUCACACUGCCGAGAAAAGCCUCUAGCUAGAAUAACGGUGCCCGUACCGCAAACCGACACAGGUAGUCAAGAUGAGAAUUCUAAGGUGAGCGAGCGAACUCUCGUUAAGGAACUCGGCAAAAUGACCCCGUAACUUCGGGAGAAGGGGUGCUCUUUGAGGUUCACGCUUCGAAGAGCCGCAGUGAAUAGGCCCAAGCGACUGUUUAUCAAAAACACAGGUCUCUGCUAAACCGUAAGGUGACGUAUAGGGGCUGACGCCUGCCCGGUGCUGGAAGGUUAAGAGGAGUGGUUAGCGCAAGCGAAGCUACGAAUCGAAGCCCCAGUAAACGGCGGCCGUAACUAUAACGGUCCUAAGGUAGCGAAAUUCCUUGUCGGGUAAGUUCCGACCCGCACGAAAGGCGUAACGAUUUGGGCACUGUCUCAACGAGAGACUCGGUGAAAUCAUAGUACCGGUGAAGAUGCCGGUUACCCGCGACAGGACGGAAAGACCCCGUGGAGCUUUACUGUAGCCUGAUAUUGAAAUUCGGUACAGUUUGUACAGGAUAGGUAGGAGCCUUAGAAGCGUGAGCGCUAGCUUACGUGGAGGCAUUGGUGGGAUACUACCCUAAUUGUAUUGGAUUUCUAACCCGCAGCACUUAUCGUGCUGGGAGACAGUGUCAGGCGGGCAGUUUGACUGGGGCGGUCGCCUCCUAAAGAGUAACGGAGGCGCUCAAAGGUUCCCUCAGAAUGGUUGGAAAUCAUUCAUAGAGUGUAAAGGCAUAAGGGAGCUUGACUGCGAGACCUACAAGUCGAGCAGGGUCGAAAGACGGACUUAGUGAUCCGGUGGUUCCGCAUGGAAGGGCCAUCGCUCAACGGAUAAAAGCUACCCCGGGGAUAACAGGCUUAUCUCCCCCAAGAGUUCACAUCGACGGGGAGGUUUGGCACCUCGAUGUCGGCUCAUCGCAUCCUGGGGCUGUAGUCGGUCCCAAGGGUUGGGCUGUUCGCCCAUUAAAGCGGUACGCGAGCUGGGUUCAGAACGUCGUGAGACAGUUCGGUCCCUAUCCGUCGUGGGCGUAGGAAAUUUGAGAGGAGCUGUCCUUAGUACGAGAGGACCGGGAUGGACAUACCUCUGGUGUACCAGUUGUCGUGCCAACGGCAUAGCUGGGUAGCUAUGUAUGGACGGGAUAAGUGCUGAAAGCAUCUAAGCAUGAAGCCCCCCUCGAGAUGAGAUUUCCCAACUUC
RNAcentral lists this ribosomal RNA (1560 nucleotides) under Staphylococcus pseudintermedius. Its description in RNAcentral is "partial 23S ribosomal RNA". It matches the Rfam family "Bacterial large subunit ribosomal RNA", at positions 1263 to 2821 of the family's 2925-position model. Lineage: Bacteria; Bacillati; Bacillota; Bacilli; Caryophanales; Staphylococcaceae. The record is from RNAcentral.